Molecule: unclassified non-coding RNA, 335 nt
Filed under: soil metagenome
Description: partial contains 5.8S ribosomal RNA, internal transcribed spacer 2, and large subunit ribosomal RNA
Rfam family: 5.8S ribosomal RNA (bases 1-120)
Source: RNAcentral
GAUGAAGAACGCAGCGAAAUGCGAUAAGUAAUGUGAAUUGCAGAAUUCAGUGAAUCAUCGAAUCUUUGAACGCACAUUGCGCCCGCCAGUAUUCUGGCGGGCAUGCCUGUUCGAGCGUCAUUUCAACCAUCAAGCCCCCGGCUUGUGUUGGGGACCUGCGGCUGCCGCAGGCCCUGAAAACCAGUGGCGGGCUCGCUAGUCACUCCGAGCGUAGUAAUACAUCUCGCUCAGGGCGUGCUGCGGGUUCCGGCCGUUAAAAAGCCUUAUUUACCCAAGGUUGACCUCGGAUCAGGUAGGAAGACCCGCUGAAAUUAAGCAUAUCAAUAAGCGGAGGA